RNAcentral lists this long non-coding RNA (242 nucleotides) under Carica papaya (papaya). Its description in RNAcentral is "long non-coding RNA (CPAP_LNC008549)". The record is from RNAcentral. Lineage: Eukaryota; Viridiplantae; Streptophyta; Magnoliopsida; Brassicales; Caricaceae.
UGGUUUUAAAUGUAUGUCUUACUGUCUUACUUGACCACUGUGUGAUUUUAAAAUUUGAGAUAUGAGUGUAUUACCUAAUGCAUGUUUAUUGUUUAUGUGAUUUUGUUUAACUUGGUAACUGAGACUAAGGAAAAACAUAUAAGGUGACAGUCUCACUAGAUAUCCUGUAAGAUGGUGGACGGACCGGGUUCAUAGGGAACCCUACCGUGAAUGUUGUCUCAUACCGGACGGGGUAUGGAGAC